CCUUCUUGGUUUAAUCUCCACAUGUUGUUGGAAAAGGGAAAAACCUGACAUUUGAAGCAUAACUCUGAUUUUCAUGGAAACUUGGACGUCCGUGGGUGUGAGUACGAUUUUAAGCGCAUAAGAGCGAGUGGAUGAGGGCAGCGCUGCACGGCCCACGGUAAAGUUCUCCAUCACCACAGGCCCUUUUCUGGCAGGGGACUGUGACUUUGAAAUCGAACAGGCCCGCAGGACGGAUCAGUGCGUCUGCUCAACAUAAGUCAGUGUGAAAAGUCCGAUGUUAUGACAGCCAAAGAGGAGACCACAGCCCCCAACGGGACUAACGCCUCUGCAAACUCCAAACUACAGAAACCAGUGGAGGAACGGGUUUCGCUUCUCCUCGAAUACACUUGAAGGCCAGUGGACUGAUGCUAAAGUCAACAUGAUGCCGGUCAACAGAAGAGAGAAUGAAAGACUCCCCCACACUGCCUCAGCUAUGAAGAGAUAUGUGAGAGAAGAAGGAAGCGUCUCACCAGCUGACAGCUGCAACGAGACAGACACACACAUGUACAUGCUCUCUCCAUCAUGCCUGUCAACACACAUGCAACAUGAUAAAACCACACAAUUAAAGGAAUGCUUCAGUAUACAAGUGGAUGAAAUAGUUGAUUUACU
This is a non-coding RNA of Pimephales promelas (fathead minnow), 648 nucleotides long. The record is from RefSeq and is a predicted model, not a curated record. Lineage: Eukaryota; Metazoa; Chordata; Actinopteri; Cypriniformes; Leuciscidae.